GAUGAACGCUGGCGGCGUGCCUAAUACAUGCAAGUCGAGCGAACGGACGAGAAGCUUGCUUUUCUGAUGUUAGCGGCGGACGGGUGAGUAGCACGUGGAUAACCUACCUAUAAGACUGGGAUAACUUCGGGAAACCGGAGCUAAUACCGGAUAAUAUUUUGAACCGCAUGGUUCAAAAGUGAAAGACGGUCUUGCUGUCACUUAUAGAUGGAUCCGCGCUGCAUUAGCUAGUUGGUAAGGUAACGGCUUACCAAGGCAACGAUGCAUAGCCGACCUGAGAGGGUGAUCGGCCACACUGGAACUGAGACACGGUCCAGACUCCUACGGGAGGCAGCAGUAGGGAAUCUUCCGCAAUGGGCGAAAGCCUGACGGAGCAACGCCGCGUGAGUGAUGAAGGUCUUCGGAUCGUAAAACUCUGUUAUUAGGGAAGAACAUAUGUGUAAGUAACUGUGCACAUCUUGACGGUACCUAAUCAGAAAGCCACGGCUAACUACGUG
Molecule: ribosomal RNA, 497 nt
Filed under: uncultured bacterium
Lineage: Bacteria
Description: partial 16S ribosomal RNA
Rfam family: Bacterial small subunit ribosomal RNA
Source: RNAcentral